RNAcentral lists this ribosomal RNA (491 nucleotides) under uncultured bacterium. Its description in RNAcentral is "bacterial SSU rRNA". It matches the Rfam family "Bacterial small subunit ribosomal RNA", at positions 15 to 507 of the family's 1533-position model. The record is from RNAcentral.
GAUCCUGGCUCAGGAUGAACGCUAGCGGCAGGCCUAACACAUGCAAGUCGAGGGGUAGAGUUCUUCGGGACUUGAGACCGGCGCACGGGUGCGUAACGCGUAUGCAAUCUACCUUAUACAGGGGAAUAGCCCAGAGAAAUUUGGAUUAAUGCCCCAUAGUAUUAUGAAAUCGCAUGGUUUUAUAAUUAAAGUUCCAACGGUAUAAGAUGAGCAUGCGUCCCAUUAGUUAGUUGGUAAGGUAACGGCUUACCAAGACAACGAUAGGUAGGGGUCCUGAGAGGGAGAUCCCCCACACUGGUACUGAGACACGGACCAGACUCCUACGGGAGGCAGCAGUGAGGAAUAUUGGACAAUGGGCGCAAGCCUGAUCCAGCCAUGCCGCGUGCAGGAAGAAGCAUCUAUGGUGUGUAAACUGCUUUUGUACGGGAAGAAACACUCCUUCGUGAAGGAGCUUGACGGUACCGUAAGAAUAAGGAUCGGCUAACUCCGUG